This 83-nucleotide transfer RNA is filed under the name Armatimonadota bacterium. Its description in RNAcentral is "Armatimonadetes bacterium (hot springs metagenome) tRNA-Val". It matches the Rfam family "tRNA", at positions 16 to 71 of the family's 71-position model. From Rfam's summary of the family: Transfer RNA (tRNA) molecules are approximately 80 nucleotides in length. Their secondary structure includes four short double-helical elements and three loops (D, anti-codon, and T loops). The record is from RNAcentral. Lineage: Bacteria; Bacillati; Armatimonadota.
UGGAGGUAAUCCUGCAAGGAUUACCGACUUGCGCUUCCUUGACACGGAAGAGGUCACAGGUUCAAAUCCUGUACCGCCCACCA